Molecule: long non-coding RNA, 524 nt
Organism: Panicum virgatum (switchgrass)
Lineage: Eukaryota; Viridiplantae; Streptophyta; Magnoliopsida; Poales; Poaceae
Exons: 2
Source: RefSeq, a predicted model, not a curated record
UCCUCCUCCGACCUGCUUCUCCCUCCGGUGUUCCUGCAGCCAACUCCUCCUUCGCAUCAGGUGAUUCCCCUCUCCCCGCCCCCUGCAUCUCCUUGCCCCCACGCUAGGGUUUCUCCUCUCCUCUCCUCACACCUUUUCUUGCAGAUCCUGCAAAAAAUCGCGGUCGGGGGAGCCCUACGGUGGCUGUGAGAGACCCGACGUUGAGCUCCGGGGCCACUUCAUCGGCAAGGAAGAAUGCUGCUAUAUUCGACAAGUAACAAGGAUGAAUGAUGAAUCAGAAAUCUCAACUCUUCCAUUUUUUGGAUGCAUUCUUCUGAAGGGAAUCGAUCUAUUUUUUGUGUCAGUUUCAUAUGCUGCUGAAAGCACUAGGAGGACAUAGUGCUUGAACGAUAUUGUAUUCUAGUUAUGCCCAUCUCUGUUGGAUGAUGACAUGAAUAGAUUGGCGGUAGUCUACUCUAUGAUCUCAACGUGCUCCUGAAGCCUGAAUUCAUGAUGCAACAAAUUUAUUAUGAUUUUAUCAAGCA